CGGUAAUACGGAGGGUGCAAGCGUUAAUCGGAAUUACUGGGCGUAAAGCGCACGCAGGCGGUCUGUCAAGUCGGAUGUGAAAUCCCCGGGCUCAACCUGGGAACUGCAUUCGAAACUGGCAGGCUAGAGUCUUGUAGAGGGGAGUAGAAUUCCAGGUGUAGCGGUGAAAUGCGUAGAGAUCUGGAGGAAUACCGGUGGCGAAGGCGGCCCCCUGGACAAAGACUGACGCUCAGGUGCGAAAGCGUGGGGAGCAAACAGGAUUAGAUACCCUGGUAGUCCACGCCGUAAACGAUGUCGAUUUGGAGGUUGUGCCCUUGAGGCGUGGCUUCCGGAGCUAACGCGUUAAAUCGACCGCCUGGGGAGUACGGCCGCAAGGUUAAAACUCAAAUGAAUUGACGGGGGCCCGCACAAGCGGUGGAGCAUGUGGUUUAAUUCGAUGCAACGCGAAGAACCUUACCUGGUCUUGGCAUCCACAGAACUUAGCAGAGAUGCUUUGGUGCCUUCGGGAACUGUGAGACAGGUGCUGCAUGGCUGUCGUCAGCUCGUGUUGUGAAAUGUUGGGUUAAGUCCCGCAACGAGCGCAACCCUUAUCCUUUGUUGCCAGCGGUUA
This 610-nucleotide ribosomal RNA is filed under the name uncultured bacterium. RNAcentral's name for it is "bacterial SSU rRNA". It matches the Rfam family "Bacterial small subunit ribosomal RNA", at positions 518 to 1127 of the family's 1533-position model. The record is from RNAcentral.